UACAGAGGUCUCAAGCGUUGUUCGGAUUCAUUGGGCGUAAAGGGUGCGUAGGCGGCGCGCUAAGUCGGGUGUGAAAUUUCGGAGCUUAACUCCGAAACUGCAUUUGAUACUGGCGUGCUUGAGGACUGGAGAGGAGACUGGAAUUCAUGGUGUAGCAGUGAAAUGCGUAGAGAUCAUGAGGAAGACCAGUGGCGAAGGCGGGUCUCUGGACAGUUCCUGACACUGAGGCACGAAGGCCAGGGGAGCAAACGGG
This 253-nucleotide ribosomal RNA is filed under the name uncultured bacterium. RNAcentral describes it as "partial 16S ribosomal RNA". It matches the Rfam family "Bacterial small subunit ribosomal RNA", at positions 524 to 776 of the family's 1533-position model. The record is from RNAcentral.